Molecule: transfer RNA, 77 nt
Filed under: Fidelibacterota bacterium
Lineage: Bacteria; Pseudomonadati; Fidelibacterota
Description: tRNA-Arg
Rfam family: tRNA
About the family: Transfer RNA (tRNA) molecules are approximately 80 nucleotides in length. Their secondary structure includes four short double-helical elements and three loops (D, anti-codon, and T loops). Further hydrogen bonds mediate the characteristic L-shaped molecular structure. tRNAs have two regions of fundamental functional importance: the anti-codon, which is responsible for specific mRNA codon recognition, and the 3' end, to which the tRNAs corresponding amino acid is attached (by aminoacyl-tRNA synthetases). tRNAs cope with the degeneracy of the genetic code in two manners: having more than one tRNA (with a specific anti-codon) for a particular amino acid; and 'wobble' base-pairing, i.e. permitting non-standard base-pairing at the 3rd anti-codon position.
Source: RNAcentral
GCACCCGUAGCUCAAUUGGAUAGAGCGCUGCGCUACGGACGCAGAGGUUGGGGGUUCGAAUCCUCCCGGGUGUACAA